UCAACACUCAGUCGAAAUGGUACUUGGGACUUCAAGUGUGGGUCUUUUCCCAGGCUAGUGAUAAGCAGUAUAAUGCUGUCUCAUGUUGCUGGGCAGCAGUGUUAAGGCAUUAGUCACAUGACCCAAAGCAACCAAUGGGCCUGCUCCAGUACAGAGCUGUAAAGUGAAGACGCCUGAUGCUGAAAAUUGAGACCAAAAGAAGGAAACAAACUUGCACAUGGUUGUUAUUUAAUGCAUAAGCAGCACUUAAAACCAAGUGCUAUCCUAAACCAAGUGAUACCCUAAAGAUGUGCCGGACAUCUGGUCUCAUAAGAAGAUUAAAGAACAGUUCCAGUGUACCACAAGCCCAGAACAUGCUGUGUGAGCCAGUGGCUAACAUCAAAUGCAGUGAUCUUGGCUCAGGGCUUGGGGAGCUGAGAAAUAAAAAUAACACAUGAACAAA
Molecule: long non-coding RNA, 442 nt
Organism: Peromyscus eremicus (cactus mouse)
Lineage: Eukaryota; Metazoa; Chordata; Mammalia; Rodentia; Cricetidae
Exons: 2
Source: RefSeq, a predicted model, not a curated record